GUGCCAGCAGCCGCGGUAAUACGGAAGGUCCGGGCGUUAUCCGGAUUUAUUGGGUUUAAAGGGAGCGUAGGCCGUCGUUUAAGCGUGUUGUGAAAUGUAGGCGCCCAACGUCUGCACUGCAGCGCGAACUGGAUGACUUGAGUACGCGGGAAGCAGGCGGAAUUCGUCGUGUAGCGGUGAAAUGCUUAGAUAUGACGAAGAACUCCGAUUGCGAAGGCAGCCUGCUGUAGCGCCACUGACGCUGAUGCUCGAAAGCGUGGGUAUCGAACAGGAUUAGAUACCCUGGUAGUCCACGCGGUAAACGAUGGAUGCUCGCUGUGUGCCUAUUAGGUACGUGGCCAAGGGAAACCAUUAAGCAUCCCACCUGGGGAGUACGCCGGCAACGGUGAAACUCAAAGGAAUUGACGGGGGCCCGCACAAGCGGAGGAACAUGUGGUUUAAUUCGAUGAUACGCGAGGAACCUUACCCGGGCUUGAACUGCAGCAGACGGAUUCAGAGAUGAUGACUCCCUUCGGGGCUGCUGUGGAGGUGCUGCAUGGUUGUCGUCAGCUCGUGCCGUGAGGUGUCGGCUUAAGUGCCAUAACGAGCGCAACCCCUUUCGUUAGUUGCCAUCAGGUGAAGCUGGGCACUCUGGCGAUACUGCCACCGUAAGGUGUGAGGAAGGUGGGGAUGACGUCAAAUCAGCACGGCCCUUACGUCCGGGGCUACACACGUGUUACAAUGGCGCAUACAGAGAGCCGGUCUCAUGCAAAUGAGGUCUAAUCAAUAAAGUGCGUCGUAGUUCGGACUGGGGUCUGCAACCCGACCCCACGAAGCUGGAUUCGCUAGUAAUCGCGCAUCAGCCAUGGCGCGGUGAAUACGUUCCCGGGCCUUGUACACACCGCCCGU
Molecule: ribosomal RNA, 888 nt
Filed under: uncultured rumen bacterium
Lineage: Bacteria
Description: bacterial SSU rRNA
Rfam family: Bacterial small subunit ribosomal RNA
Source: RNAcentral